Salmo salar (Atlantic salmon) is the source of this 648-nucleotide non-coding RNA. Lineage: Eukaryota; Metazoa; Chordata; Actinopteri; Salmoniformes; Salmonidae. The record is from RefSeq and is a predicted model, not a curated record.
UCUCUCAAUAAUCUCUUAACUAGGAUUAUCCUGAAGAAGGCCGGCCUUACAUAUGGUCAACAUUGUACAGGUGGUACAGAAUCUGAUUCCACCAUCAUACACUUCCAACCCCUAGCUCUGCACAAGGUGAAGUUUGGAGUCAUUCCACUGUGCCCUGCUGAAAAAUACCCCAACGGGGCAUUUUGGGGUACACAACCAUGAGGGAACAGACACACCUUGCAGUUAUGGAGCACAACAAGAUUGUGGGCCAGAAACCAGCAAGGGGCACACAUAGAACACUUGUCAGAGUUCAGCUGGCCGUUCACCACAGACAGAACAAGCCCAUUGCCCUAAGCACUAAGAGUCCCAGUUUCAUCAGCCCACUGUGCCGAACACCAUUGCCAACACCAUUGGCAGUGUACCGAAGCCGGACAAAGGACUAAGGCUGUGUUUACACAGGCAGCUAAAUUCUGUUUUUUUUUCUUUUGACCAAUCAGAUCAGUUCUGAAAAUUAUCUGAUGUGAUUAAAACCAAUUAGUGGAAAAAAGAUCAGAAUGCAGCCAGUGUGGCUCAGCCUAAGACCAUGUAGACCAGGGAUCUCCAACCCUGUUCCUGGAGAGCUACCCUCCUGUAGGUUUACACCAGGGCUCUCCAACCCUGUUCCUGGAG